AUUGAACGCUGGCGGCAGGCCUAACACAUGCAAGUCGAACGAGUGGCGGACGGGUGAGUAAUGUCUGGGAACCUGCCUGAUGGAGGGGGAUAACUACUGGAAACGGUAGCUAAUACCGCAUACCAUCGGAUGUGCCCAGAUGGGAUUAGCUAGUAGGUGGGGUAAAGGCUCACCUAGGCGACGAUCCCUAGCUGGUCUGAGAGGAUGACCAGCCACACGGGAACGGGGACACGGUCCAGACGCCUACGGGAGGCAGCAGUGUGGUAUAUUGCACAAUGGGCGCAAGGCUUAUGCAGCCAGGCCGAGUGUAUGAAGAAGGCCUUCGGGUUGUAAAGUACGUUCAGCGGGGAGGCGUUACCCGCAGAAGAAGCACCGGCUAACUCCGUGCCAGCAGCCGCGGUAAUUC
This 406-nucleotide ribosomal RNA is filed under the name uncultured bacterium. RNAcentral's name for it is "partial 16S ribosomal RNA". It matches the Rfam family "Bacterial small subunit ribosomal RNA", at positions 30 to 526 of the family's 1533-position model. The record is from RNAcentral.